AGGACGAACGCUGGCGGCGUGCUUAACACAUGCAAGUCGAGCGGUAAGGCCCUUUCGGGGGUACACGAGCGGCGAACGGGUGAGUAACACGUGAGCAAUCUGCCCUUCACUUCGGGAUAAGCCUCGGAAACGGGGUCUAAUGCCGGAUAUGACCGCGCUACGCAUGUGGUGUGGUAGGAAAGUUCGUGGCGGUGGAGGAUGGAGUCUCGCGGCCUAUCAGCUUAGUUGGGUGGGUAAUCGGCCUACCGAAGGUCUUCGGACGGGUACGCCGGCCGUGGAGAGGGUCGACCGGCACACGUGGACUGAGACACGGCCAG
This 317-nucleotide ribosomal RNA is filed under the name uncultured soil bacterium. RNAcentral's name for it is "bacterial SSU rRNA". It matches the Rfam family "Bacterial small subunit ribosomal RNA", at positions 26 to 333 of the family's 1533-position model. The record is from RNAcentral.